RNAcentral lists this ribosomal RNA (496 nucleotides) under uncultured bacterium. RNAcentral describes it as "partial 16S ribosomal RNA". It matches the Rfam family "Bacterial small subunit ribosomal RNA", at positions 29 to 507 of the family's 1533-position model. The record is from RNAcentral.
AUGAACGCUGGCGGCGUGCCUCAUACAUGCAAGUCGAGCGAACGGACGAGAAGCUUGCUUCUCUGAUGUUAGCGGCGGACGGGUGAGUAACACGUGGAUAACCUACCUAUAAGACUGGGAUAACUUCGGGAAACCGGAUCUAAUACCGGAUGAUAUUUUGAACCGCAUGGUUCAAAAGUGAAAGACGGUCUUGCUGUCACUUAUAGAUGGAUCCGCGCUGCAUUAGCUAGUUGGUAAGGUAACGGCUUACCAAGGCAACGAUGCAUAGCCGACCUGAGAGGGUGAUCGGCCACACUGGAACUGAGACACGGUCCAGACUCCUACGGGAGGCAGCAGUAGGGAAUCUUCCGCAAUGGGCGAAAGCCUGACGGAGCAACGCCGCGUGAGUGAUGAAGGUCUUCGGAUCGUAAAACUCUGUUAUUAGGGAAGAACAUAUGUGUAAGUAACUGUGCACAUCUUGACGGUACCUAAUCAGAAAGCCACGGCUAACUACGUG